This 57-nucleotide small RNA is filed under the name Arabidopsis thaliana (thale cress). RNAcentral's name for it is "ATSL299980". Lineage: Eukaryota; Viridiplantae; Streptophyta; Magnoliopsida; Brassicales; Brassicaceae. The record is from RNAcentral.
UAUGAAUUGGAAAGGGAACAUAAUCACAAAUUAUACCAAACCAGAGUUUCUAAAGUA